UACGUAGGGGGCAAGCGUUGUCCGGAUUUAUUGGGCGUAAAGAGCGUGUAGGCGGCCUGGUAGGUCCGCUGUGAAAACUCGAGGCUCAACCUCGAGACGUCGGUGGAAACCGUUUGGCUAGAGUCCGGAAGAGGAGAGUGGAAUUCCCGGUGUAGCGGUGAAAUGCGCAGAUAUCGGGAAGAACACCCGUGGCGAAGGCGGCUCUCUGGGACGGUACUGACGCUGAGACGCGAAAGCGUGGGGAGCGAACAGG
Molecule: ribosomal RNA, 253 nt
Filed under: uncultured bacterium
Lineage: Bacteria
Description: partial 16S ribosomal RNA
Rfam family: Bacterial small subunit ribosomal RNA
Source: RNAcentral